Lathyrus oleraceus (garden pea) is the source of this 1507-nucleotide long non-coding RNA. RefSeq lists it as uncharacterized. The record is from RefSeq and is a predicted model, not a curated record. The transcript is spliced from 3 exons. NCBI's taxonomy places the organism in Eukaryota, Viridiplantae, Streptophyta, Magnoliopsida, Fabales, Fabaceae.
CCUGAAUUGGACUUUUGAUCUGUGGGGGUGUAGUAGGAAAACGCACGGGCCUUGGACUCAAACGGCCACAGUGGAAUGGAGAGAGUCCGUGUACAACCUUCACGUAAGCUCAAAUUGGACAGGGGAAAAGCACUUAUUCAGAGAAGCUCUUGUGACGCGUUUGGAUUCUUGGAUUCCGGCGCCUUCAACCACUGCGUUCACGAGGAUUUAGCACAAGCCGGGAGAAACGAUCAACUCCAACACAACAAUGCGUUAUCCUUCUCACAGAAUUGACUUCAACGAUUAUUACGACUCAAGGAUUCAAGAACUCGCGGUGUUAAGCAAUCCACCAUGGUUCGCGAUGUUCGAUCUUUAUUGAUAGUUCAGAUACUCGAAGAUCCGCGAUUCAUCUCACUCCAUUAUCGUAUGUGCGGAUGGAAGAAAAACCACAUCGAAAUCGGAUCGGAAAAACUUACCAGAUUAAAGCUCCAAUUACAAUUAGCUUCUCACCAAUUCCGUUACGAGUUGCGAGCUUCUACGGAUUUUGUUGAAGGUUCUUGGUGGAUGAUGAAGGCCUCGCUCGCAUCUCCGCUUUGAGAUGAAGACGAAGACGUAAUACCGGUAUUGCCGAUCGAAAUGAAGAAGAAGUCUCUUGGAUCGAUCUUUGGCGGUUCGGUUGUGAUGAUGAUAAAUUAAUGUGGAAGAAUUGAAGAGUGAAGAUUGGAAGCGGUUGAAGGUUUCGGUGAACGGAGAUUACGGUUACGGUUACGGAUUCGUAGUGGUUGAAGGCUUGGCUAUGGAGUUUUGGAGUUUUUGAUGAAGGUGAUUGUGAAUUGAAAAAAAAACGGUUACGGUUACGGUUACGGUGGUUGAAGGUUUUGGUUGAAGGAUUGGAAGAGUUUGUGAUGAAGUUUGGAAGAAGAAGAUUGGGAGAGAGGAAGAAAUGAGAUUGAGUCUGUUAUGUGGAAAAAUCUGGAAGUGUAGUGAGGUGAAGGUUUUUGAUUUUUUUUAGAGUUAUGAGAUUAAGAUUAGAAGAAAAUUCUGUUAUUUGGUUGUGAAAUUUUUCUGUUAUUAUGCAGGUAUGGAAUUGCAUUCCCAGCUUGGCUUGUGCACUUUUUCUUAUGUUGGCUCGCUCGGAGCAGCUUUUUGCUUGUGUAUUUUGCAGGUUUUUUGUAUCGGCUUAUGCGGCUUGAAAUCUCAUUUGUUGUUAUGUUUUGCAGUUUGAAUAGCAGCUUGAAGUGUAGCUUGGUUUUGAUGCCUUGGCUUGGCUUGGCAGUUAUUGUGCAGGAUUUUGUUUUUGGAUUUAUGCAGAAUUUUAUAGCAGAAUUUUUAUAUGCAUUUUAUGCAGAAUUUUUGAUGUGUUGCUGAAUUUUGAUGUGUUGCUGUUAAAUGCAAUGCAGAAUUUUUAAUGCAGAAUUUUGUUCAUUUGUAAUGCAGAAUUUUUAAUGCAUUUUAGUUUUAUACAAAUGGAUAUGGGUAUGAUUGGAUAAUGGCAAUUGAUUUUAUUAAUUGGAAUAAUAAAAUGAAA